This 177-nucleotide long non-coding RNA is filed under the name Mustela putorius furo (domestic ferret). RNAcentral's name for it is "lncRNA (ENSMPUG00000030310.1)". The record is from RNAcentral. Lineage: Eukaryota; Metazoa; Chordata; Mammalia; Carnivora; Mustelidae.
AGACGGAGUCAGUCCCUAAAGCUGAAGGCCUCACUCUCUCCACUGCCAUCUCUGUCUCAGACUUGAUAAAAUGUCUCUCCUUUCGUCGUGGAUCAAAACUAUUUUCAUCAUUGCCUUGGUGUUUCCUCUUUAUUCUGGUGAGUAAGUUUUCCAGUUCAAGGUGAGAUAUUUCCUGUC